GAUGAACGCUGGCGGCGUGCUUAACACAUGCAAGUCGAACGAAGCAUUUAAGACAGAUUACUUCGGUUUGAAGUCUUUUAUGACUGAGUGGCGGACGGGUGAGUAACGCGUGGGUAACCUGCCUCAUACAGGGGGAUAGCAGCUGGAAACGGCUGGUAAUACCGCAUAAGCGCACAGUACCACAUGGUACAGUGUGAAAAACUCCGGUGGUAUGAGAUGGACCCGCGUCUGAUUAGCUUGUUGGCGGGGUAACGGCCCACCAAGGCGACGAUCAGUAGCCGACCUGAGAGGGGGACCGGCCACAUUGGGACUGAGACACGGCCCAGACUCCUACGGGAGGCAGCAGUGGGGAAUAUUGCACAAUGGAGGAAACUCUGAUGCAGCGACGCCGCGUGAGUGAAGAAGUAGUUCGCUAUGUAAAGCUCUAUCAGCAGGGAAGAUAGUGACGGUACCUGACUAAGAAGCUCCGGCUAAAUACGUG
RNAcentral lists this ribosomal RNA (481 nucleotides) under uncultured bacterium. RNAcentral's name for it is "partial 16S ribosomal RNA". It matches the Rfam family "Bacterial small subunit ribosomal RNA", at positions 28 to 507 of the family's 1533-position model. The record is from RNAcentral.